RNA transcript from Notolabrus celidotus (New Zealand spotty), 5627 nucleotides. It is a transcript of the gene named Meis homeobox 1 b, with no coding region annotated. NCBI's taxonomy places the organism in Eukaryota, Metazoa, Chordata, Actinopteri, Labriformes, Labridae. The record is from RefSeq and is a predicted model, not a curated record. The transcript is spliced from 12 exons.
UCUGGUCCAGAUCCUCCGCUCCUCCUCAGCUCAACACACACAUCCAUUGUACACAAACGGGGCAGGCGGCUCAUGCAUACACACGCACUCACACACAUACAGAUACAUCCACCGCCACACACACAUCUACGCACACACGCUCAGCAUCGAUCGUGGCUCCUUUAAGAAAGCCUAAGCCAGAAUUAUCACCCCACCUCCUCUUGAUCUCCUCUUGACGCUUUUGCAUAAGAAAAUCAAGCCGGGAGCCGAGAGUGAUCAAAGAAAACGAGAGGAGAGCUGCUUCAUUUUUUAACUCUGAUUGUGACCAUUAACGUUUAGGUGGUGCCGAGCCCGUGGAGACGCGCGUCGGACCAUCAUUCAUCCGGUACUUUUGACAAGCCCUCGUGUUUUGACUGACAGGCGGAGUGGCAAAAAGCCAUGCGAGUCGCCACUUUUGUUUGAGGGGCUGUUUUAUUUUCAUCCUGGUUUUGGGAAAGGAGCCUGGCGCCGCUGCCCCGAGGAGAGGACAGCCGAGGACCUAUUCGCCGCGCCUGGGCUUAAACUUGCGCAGAGAGCGGGGGCUGGCUACACCGUUCCGUGGAAAGAGACAAGGCGUACAGGAUUUUGGCUGAAACAUAUUCCUGUUUAUUUGGAUUUUCUUUCUUCAUUUCGUCUCCACCCUGGCCUCAGAGGGGAUUUAUCUAAAGUGAAAGGACGACCAGGGAGUCAGGAGGGUUAUGGCGCAACGGUACGAAGACUUGCCCCACUACGGGAUGGACGGGGUGGGCAUCCCGACCACCAUGUACGGGGACCCGCACGGCGCCCGGUCCAUGCAGGCGGUGCACCUCAACCACGGGCCCCAGCUGCACUCGCACCAGUACCCGCACACCGCCCACACCAACACCAUGCCUCCCAGCAUGGGCUCCUCCGUCAACGACGCUCUCAAGAGAGAUAAAGACGCGAUAUACGGGCACCCCCUGUUCCCCUUGCUUGCACUGAUUUUUGAGAAAUGUGAAUUAGCGACGUGCACCCCCAGAGAGCCCGGGGUGGCGGGAGGAGACGUCUGUUCAUCGGAAUCUUUCAAUGAAGACAUAGCAGUGUUUGCAAAACAGAUUCGGGCAGAAAAGCCUUUAUUUUCAUCGAAUCCAGAAUUGGAUAAUUUGAUGAUUCAAGCCAUUCAAGUUUUACGAUUUCAUCUUCUGGAGCUGGAGAAGGUGCACGAGCUGUGUGAUAAUUUCUGUCACCGGUACAUCAGCUGCUUGAAAGGCAAAAUGCCCAUCGACCUGGUCAUAGACGACAGAGAGGGGGGCUCCAAAUCAGACAGCGAGGAGAUCACGAGAUCAUCGGUGGCCCUUGAUCAGACGUCCUGGAACAGAGAUCACGAUGACACAGCAUCCACGCGCUCUGGGGGAACCCCAGGCCCAUCCAGUGGUGGACACACAUCACACAGCGGUGACAACAGCAGCGAACAGGGUGAUGGCCUGGACAACAGCGUAGCCUCGCCGAGCACGGGGGACGACGAUGACCCGGAUAAAGAAAAGAAACGCAACAAGAAGAGAGGGAUCUUCCCUAAGGUGGCCACCAAUAUCAUGAGAGCAUGGCUCUUCCAGCACCUAACACAUCCCUACCCGUCAGAAGAACAGAAGAAACAGCUGGCACAAGACACAGGCCUCACCAUCCUACAAGUGAACAACUGGUUCAUUAAUGCCAGGAGGAGAAUAGUGCAACCCAUGAUCGACCAGUCAAACCGUGCAGGCAAGUCUCCUCUAGUUACUGUAUUCAAGUCUCGCAGGCGAAAGCCGUCCACACUCCAUGCACCCGGAGGCCCCUUGGCUGGUAAAUACAGGACUGAUGCCCCUCAUUCUGGAAUGUCCAAAUCCUGCAGGGGGUUUCCCCAUCUGUGUCCUUAAAACUGACCACUAAAAUAAAAAACCAAAGUGUUAAAACAUUAACAUCAACCAUUAAUCAACUUUGAUGUGGGGUGAGAAACUAUUUAUUAAUUAUGAAAAAUAAUAAUAUGGCUGAAAUUGAGUUAAUGAUGAGUGGCUUUGUUUAUUCUAGUCUGUAAACAAAACUAGCUGUGUUCUCAGUAAAGUUUGCUUUUAACUCCUUCCUCUCUUUCUUGAGCCAGUCAAGCAAAGAAAAAAAAUCCCCUCCCCCUGGCUCAAACCAAAACAUAAAGUGAGCGACACCCAUUUCUUUUUUUGGGUGACCGUUGUUUGGCUUCUUGGCUCCAGACCUGUUUUUACCCCCCUUACUUCUGAACCCCCCGCCCCCUCCCCCUCCUCAACCCUAUUUGUGGCUGUUUCAGUGAGCAAGGGGAGUGAGGGGAGCGAGUAAGCGGUCCCCCUGGUGCAUGGCUUGGUUUGGACUGCUGUAAACUUUAUUACCUGUAAUAGGGGUCAAAGGUCAGGGUGGCAUUAGGGGCGCAGUAAAGUUCAAAGGCAUUCAGUGGGGCUGAGUUCUUGCUUUUGCUUGACUGACCCCCAAACAGCCUGAAUCGAAGGUAAGUGGAUUUCUAUGAGCGCAGAACAAUGGAGGGCAGCGAAAAAUAAGAAGUCUAUCAGGUUUCACUUAGCCUCGCUGCUCAGUUAAAGGCAGUAUUUAUUAGAUAAAGCAUUUAGGUAUGGGAGCACAUUCUGAGACCACUUAGUAAGAAUGAGCUGACCUUUUCAGAGCGCUGACCUGGUGCUCAUUUUGUUCUUUUGAUCAUGUUUUUGAUCAUGCAUUUUCAGGAGCAGAACUAAUGUUAAAAGUGUAACAAUGUUAGGUGUGUUAGUGUCAUUUUCAUGAGUAUCAAAGGUGCCAGAGAUUGGUUUUAAACUUUUAUUUUGCAUUUGAAUAAAACAGCAAUGAUGACGUGACAGCCUCGAAAGGAGAGGAAACACUUUAUGUUAAGUUGUGACAUAAAACUAACCCCUAGUUUAUCACCUUUUAUUCAAACAUACAGCCUAAAAUACUUCACAUACCUUUUUCAAGACUCAGUUCAAAACAGUAUAAUCAAUAAGAUAUAACAAAUUGAUAAAUUGUUCAACAGUUAAAUAAGACAAAAUAAAGACCGGAGAUGGAGCUACUGUAAGAACAAUAAUGUAAACUUGAAAAGUUAGGUCCUUGGUUUCCUUUGAAACCACAGAGGGCUUGUCAUUUUGAUGAAAAAAACUUUUUUCCACUUAAAUACAGAGUUCAUGCAAUCUAGGUUUUCGCCCAGUUUCCAAACAGAUAUCUUUGUGUGACUUAGGUGCACCAUCGUGUGUGUUGUCCAAUCCCUAUUAGAGCGUUUAGACGUAUUAAAGUCAACCCGGGGCUUACAGUGCCGAGCCGGCUGCACAGACACGGAGCGCAGUGACGUUGAAAGAACAACGGCGGCUCCCUGUGCGUGCACCGGCCAACAGAUGAUCCCGCUUCGGCCACUGAGCCUUAAUUAAAAGCACUAAUUGACCACUCCGUCCCCUCCCUCCCCCCUCUGUCUCCUCCCUCCAUCCACAGUAAGUCAAGGAGCUCCCUACAAUCCAGAUGGCCAGCCGAUGGGGGGCUUCGUCAUGGACGGUCAGCAGCACAUGGGAAUCAGACCACCUGGACCCAUGGGUGGCAUGGGCAUGAACAUGGGCAUGGAAGGUCAGUGGCACUACAUGUAGCCCCGCCCCUGUCCAACCAAUCGCAACACAAAGGAUGAUAACUGGAGAGCAAACCAGAGGAUCAUGGGUCUCACGGAGGCCUAUACGGCAUGGGAAUGGGCUCCUUGACUUCAUGAUGACAACAGUAACCCCUCUGCCCAACCGCCUACAAGACCCAACAACAUUUUAUUUGGCUGAUAUCUGCAACUUGGAAGCCUUCCAUGACUGCGUACUUGACUUUUCUAUGUAUCCAGUGAUGCACAGAAGAUCCAACCUCAUCCAAUGACCCCAUAUCCUGACAGACCCGUUUCUUCUCUGGUGGGCACUAGACUCUGCCCCCUUGCCUCUGCCUACAAGGAUUCACAUGGAUUCCUCCAUGGAAAGUGAUUGCGAUUGCGAGCAUUGAUGACACAAGAGACACACCGUGUCCUUUGCCUGUACCAUCGGUGAAUGCAGCACCGGGUGACAUAUUCUAGACUCUUUGACAAAUAAGAGACUUCCUGUGAAGAGCACUUCACUCUUUGGGAUGAUGGAAAUGGACCAAGGAGAAGCCAAUGUCUGUAUCUGACAGGACACUCACAAAGCAAAAGAGGUGCCCUCUAAAAAAGUAUAGUGGAUUGAAACAUGGAAGGAGGGAAAGCAAGAGAAAAGAAAUUAAAAGUUUAACUAUAUCAACUCCUGGUUUGGAAAGCGAGUGGAGAAAGAAAAUAUACUGUAUACUGUUGUAAAAUUACGCUGGACUCUCACAAGAACUGGGAAUUUAAGUAUUGUAAAUGCUAUUGUAUUGUUCUGCAUAUUAUGUUGUUUCUAAUAGAUUUUUUAAAAAAAGGAUGUGAACUUUUUUCUCUUUGUUUUCUCAUUUCUUUCCACACUAUGUGUGUGCAGUCUCUCCAUCAGAUUUGACCCCCUGCUCCCUCCCUACAUUGAAUCACGAUGCAUUUUUUAAAAGUAAAAAAAGUGAAUAAACUGACAAUUCGAUCAGUCUGUCGCAGACCUUUAUUUGGAUGGUAGGAGUGUGACAGCAAGACAUAUUCCCUUUUAUUUUACAUAUAGAGUCCAUCCACGUACAAACAGGGUGCAGCUGUUACUACUGACAUGUCUGCACCUUGUACCCCAAUUCUGGUGAUUUUGUUUUAUCACCAUUUCAUAUCGGUUGAAUGUGUUCAUCUUUUGGGUUGGAUGGUUUUUAUUGGUAGAAAAAAAAACAUGAAACUCUCUUUAAACUCGUCGGAUUAACUCCAAACACAAUAAAUCAAGCUUUACACUGUGUCUGAAAAGCUAACAUUUUGGAUGUCAAGGUGUUUUUUUAUUUGUAACUCAACUGUUAUAUUUCACAAUUACCCAUUUGAUCACGAGGGCUGACAUAUAAUGUAGGUCAAGAUUGCUAACAUGAAAAACAGAUUUUCAAACAUAAUACAGAGCUUCAUAAAAGAAACCAAAAAUCAUCAGAGAACGGAAACGACAGAAGUGUGUCCCACAAACAUGUUGUUUCCUGUUUUCUCCAUGUGUGUCUGUGAGGGCCUCUGAAAGUCUAUCUAAGUGUCCUAUUGAUGUGUUUCAUGUCACAGGGCAGAGCGCAUGCAUGGCCGAUGGAUUCUCUUCCCCUUGGUGUUUGGUGGAGCUUGUUGCUGAAAGAGACAGAGGCAAAAGGAGAACACCGCUAAUACCCCACUCCGUUCAUUUUUUAUUUACCCCGAUGAUGUAAUGCUAAUCAACAGACAGGAGAGAAUGUAAAAGUGUUUGUGUGUGUGUGUGUGUGUGUGUGUGUGUGUGUGUGUGUGUGUGUGUGUGUGUGUGUGUGUGCGCGCGCGCACGCGCGCGCGGGAGACAGGGAGGGGGAAUGACCGUAUAUGUGUGUGUGCAUAAGUGCUUGAGUGGGUUAUCAAUGCAUCCAUUAUCCAUAGCUUCAAACAUGUAUGUAUUACGCACAUCUUUAAGAUUCCUUUGAAGACAAGUCAUGUUUCUUAUGCUUUUACUUUGAAGGGUAUAUAUGUACAUCUGUGUUGUAAAUAAAUACUUUUUGUUCAAAUAACA